This 202-nucleotide long non-coding RNA is filed under the name Capsella rubella. RNAcentral's name for it is "long non-coding RNA (CRUB_LNC001264)". The record is from RNAcentral. Lineage: Eukaryota; Viridiplantae; Streptophyta; Magnoliopsida; Brassicales; Brassicaceae.
UAUUUUGGUAUGAUUUAUUACAACUUCUCUAUUAAUACUUUAUUUCUUUUCAAAACAAUUUUUUAAAGCUAAAUUAAAGCAGGAAAAUAUUUUAAAAGUUCAAAUUCAAAAUCAGAAAUAGAAUCGAAAUAUUUUGUAUUGCUUAGAUAUAAUUUAGUUUCCUAAUCGAACAUAUUUGCCCUAAUAAAAAAAAAAAUAUCCG